UCUAGAUAGACUAGAUCUUCUCUAUUUCUAUAGAAAAUUUUUUGUUUGUUUUAAAUUUGUGACUUUUUAAACUCAAUUAAAGUUCUGCACCUUUAUUUUGUAGAACGCGGAUUCGCAUUUCAUGUUUGAGAUUGCAUGUAAAACAUAUGACAUGUGGCAUGCAGACAAGUUUACUAGAUGGAUCUUUCAUCAUUUUGGAAAUACAAGAUGAGUUAAUAUUCCCUGUUUCUAUUUUGAAACAAAUCACAGAAACAUUCUACAAUUUUAUUUUAUAUAAUAAAUACCAAUAAAUGUAAAUACAAAAUCACA
Long non-coding RNA from Biomphalaria glabrata, 309 nucleotides. RefSeq lists it as uncharacterized. The record is from RefSeq and is a predicted model, not a curated record. NCBI's taxonomy places the organism in Eukaryota, Metazoa, Mollusca, Gastropoda, Planorbidae. The transcript has 2 exons.